This 376-nucleotide transfer-messenger RNA is filed under the name Thermoleophilaceae bacterium. It matches the Rfam family "transfer-messenger RNA". From Rfam's summary of the family: Bacterial tmRNA, also known as 10Sa RNA or SsrA, is named for its dual tRNA and mRNA-like properties. Its role is to liberate the mRNA from a stalled ribosome. To accomplish this part of the tmRNA is used as a reading frame that ends in a translation stop signal. The record is from RNAcentral. Lineage: Bacteria; Bacillati; Actinomycetota; Thermoleophilia; Thermoleophilales; Thermoleophilaceae.
GGGGGCGAUCCAGAUUCGACGUGGGAUCGACGUCUCGAUGUAGCGAGCCGAGGACUCCGGGUUGGCCUCGUAAUAAGAAUCCCGGAACAAAACCAAGUGCGGACUCCAACCAUGAGUUCGCCCUCGCCGCUUAACAGCGUGUGAGGGAGUCGCUCCGGACAGCCCGCGAUCCGGGUAGCGGCUUCAAACAGCGGGCUCACCUCCGAGGCAAAUCCCUCGGCUUCGGGGGGACAUCAACAGGAGGGAGUGGCACCGGCAACGUGUCCCGCGGAUCGACCUAGCCGGAUAGCCGAGAUCAGACUCUGUCGGGAACGCUCGUAGCAAGCAUCGGGGUGCAGUUCCGCGGACGCCGGGGCAGAACCGGCCGCCUCCACUG